GACGAACGCUGGCGGCGUGCUUAACACAUGCAAGUCGAACGGAAAGGCCCUGCUUUUGUGGGGUGCUCGAGUGGCGAACGGGUGAGUAACACGUGAGUAACCUGCCCUUGACUUUGGGAUAACUUCAGGAAACUGGGGCUAAUACCGGAUAGGAGCUCCUGCUGCAUGGUGGGGGUUGGAAAGUUUCGGCGGUUGGGGAUGGACUCGCGGCUUAUCAGCUUGUUGGUGGGGUAGUGGCUUACCAAGGCUUUGACGGGUAGCCGGCCUGAGAGGGUGACCGGCCACAUUGGGAUGGGGAACGGGCCCGGACUCCUACGGGAGGAAGCGGGGGGGAAUAUUGCACAAUGGGCGGAGGCCUGAUGCAGAAACGCCGGGUGGGGGAGGCCGGCCUUCGGGUUGUAAACCGUUUUCGCCUGUGACGAAGCGUGAGUGAGGGUAAUGGGUAAAGAAGCACCGGCUAACUACGU
This 467-nucleotide ribosomal RNA is filed under the name uncultured bacterium. RNAcentral's name for it is "partial 16S ribosomal RNA". It matches the Rfam family "Bacterial small subunit ribosomal RNA", at positions 28 to 506 of the family's 1533-position model. The record is from RNAcentral.